Molecule: ribosomal RNA, 190 nt
Filed under: uncultured bacterium
Lineage: Bacteria
Description: partial 16S ribosomal RNA
Rfam family: Bacterial small subunit ribosomal RNA
Source: RNAcentral
GCUGGCGGCACGCCUAACACAUGCAGUCGAACAAGUAGCAUACUUAGUGGCAGACGGGUGAGUACAUGUAGGUAUCUGCCCUUUGGCCUGGAAUAACACGAGGAAACUUGUGCUAAUACCGGAUAAGUCUUCUACGGAGAAAGCUUUAUGCACCAUUGGAUGAGCCUGCACUUGAUUAGUUUGUUGGUGG